GAUCUGCUCAGGAUGAACGCUAGCUACAGGCUUAACACAUGCAAGUCGAGGGGCAUCAGUUUGGUUUGCUUGCAAACCAAAGCUGGCGACCGGCGCACGGGUGAGUAACACGUAUCCAACCUGCCUCAUACUCGGGGAUAGCCUUUCGAAAGAAAGAUUAAUAUCCGAUAGCAUAUAUUUCCCGCAUGGGUUUUAUAUUAAAGAAAUUCGGUAUGAGAUGGGGAUACGUUCCAUUAGUUUGUUGGCGGGG
This 250-nucleotide ribosomal RNA is filed under the name uncultured bacterium. RNAcentral's name for it is "partial 16S ribosomal RNA". It matches the Rfam family "Bacterial small subunit ribosomal RNA", at positions 15 to 257 of the family's 1533-position model. The record is from RNAcentral.